GNNUUUGAUCCUGGCUCAGAUUGAACGCUGGCGGCAGGCCUAACACAUGCAAGUCGAGCGGUAGCACAGAGAGCUUGCUCUCGGGUGACGAGCGGCGGACGGGUGAGUAAUGUCUGGGAAACUGCCUGAUGGAGGGGGAUAACUACUGGAAACGGUAGCUAAUACCGCAUAAUGUCGCAAGACCAAAGAGGGGGACCUUCGGGCCUCUUGCCAUCAGAUGUGCCCAGAUGGGAUUAGCUAGUAGGUGGGGUAACGGCUCACCUAGGCGACGAUCCCUAGCUGGUCUGAGAGGAUGACCAGCCACACUGGAACUGAGACACGGUCCAGACUCCUACGGGAGGCAGCAGUGGGGAAUAUUGCACAAUGGGCGCAAGCCUGAUGCAGCCAUGCCGCGUGUAUGAAGAAGGCCUUCGGGUUGUAAAGUACUUUCAGCGGGGAGGAAGGUGUUGAGGUUAAUAACCUCAGCAAUUGACGUUACCCGCAGAAGAAGCACCGGCUAACUCCGUGCCAGCAGCCGCGGUAAUACGGAGGGUGCAAGCGUUAAUCGGAAUUACUGGGCGUAAAGCGCACGCAGGCGGUCUGUCAAGUCGGAUGUGAAAUCCCCGGGCUCAACCUGGGAACUGCAUCCGAAACUGGCAGGCUUGAGUCUUGUAGAGGGGGGUAGAAUUCCAGGUGUAGCGGUGAAAUGCGUAGAGAUCUGGAGGAAUACCGGUGGCGAAGGCGGCCCCCGGACAAAGA
Molecule: ribosomal RNA, 738 nt
Filed under: Enterobacter kobei
Lineage: Bacteria; Pseudomonadati; Pseudomonadota; Gammaproteobacteria; Enterobacterales; Enterobacteriaceae
Description: bacterial SSU rRNA
Rfam family: Bacterial small subunit ribosomal RNA
Source: RNAcentral